Molecule: ribosomal RNA, 273 nt
Filed under: uncultured bacterium
Lineage: Bacteria
Description: partial 16S ribosomal RNA
Rfam family: Bacterial small subunit ribosomal RNA
Source: RNAcentral
UACGUAGGGUGCAAGCGUUAAUCGGAAUUACUGGGCGUAAAGCGUGCGCAGGCGGUGAUGUAAGACAGGUGUGAAAUCCCAGGGCUUAACCUUGGAACUGCAUUUGUGACUGCAUCGCUAGAGUACGGUAGAGGGGGAUGGAAUUCCGCGUGUAGCAGUGAAAUGCGUAGAUAUGCGGAGGAACACCGAUGGCGAAGGCAAUCCCCUGGACCUGUACUGACGCUCAUGCACGAAAGCGUGGGGAGCAAACAGGAUUAGAAACCCUCGUAGUCC